UACGUAGGGGGCGAGCGUUGUCCGGAAUUAUUGGGCGUAAAGAGCUCGUAGGCGGCUCAGCAAGUCGGCUGUGAAAUCCCGAGGCUCAACCUCGGAACUGCAGUCGAUACUGCUGUGGCUAGAGUCUGGUAGAGGAGAAUGGAAUUCCCGGUGUAGCGGUGAAAUGCGCAGAUAUCGGGAGGAACACCAGUAGCGAAGGCGGUUCUCUGGGCCAGUACUGACGCUGAGGAGCGAAAGCGUGGGGAGCAAACAGGAUUA
This 258-nucleotide ribosomal RNA is filed under the name uncultured prokaryote. RNAcentral describes it as "partial 16S ribosomal RNA". It matches the Rfam family "Bacterial small subunit ribosomal RNA", at positions 524 to 780 of the family's 1533-position model. The record is from RNAcentral.